Thalassophryne amazonica is the source of this 129-nucleotide long non-coding RNA. RefSeq lists it as uncharacterized. Lineage: Eukaryota; Metazoa; Chordata; Actinopteri; Batrachoidiformes; Batrachoididae. The record is from RefSeq and is a predicted model, not a curated record. The transcript is spliced from 3 exons.
CAAACCUCCAAAUGUAUUCGGUUGCCGUGCGAAUUCCAGACACACAAAGCAAAUACCUGGUUUCCAUUUUGGUUUGACAGGGGUGAGAUAAACUCCCACCCCCGACAUUUCGCUGUAAUUUGUUUGUGC